UGAGCAAUCGAGGUGGCGUCCCUCUGGCGGGCUCAAUUUGUGUCGCAACUUGUUUUAGAUGGCUACAUGAGGUUAUUUGCAGCCCAGGACGAUCACUAAUUGCACGGUAAGAGCAGCAAAGCGCGUACGCAGCAAUUCGGCUGGCCGCUGACAGGUGAACCCAAGAUGUGACUAACCCAAGAUGUGACUAAAUAAAGGCAUAUUGGCUGGGGAGAAGUCGAGCGUAACUAUGGGGGUGGAGUGGUAGUUGCGAGUAACAAGUACUCGUACUCGUACUUGUACUCUGAUUGUGUCUGCUUAUGGUGAUUACUCAUCCAUCCGACUCCAGUCUCUCUCUUUCUCUGUGAUCUCAUCAUGAACCGUUGGCAACUCUGAUCGAUGCUAAAGCAAGACUAAACAAGACUUAAACCGAAAGGCGAUUAGAAUACAUCCCUCACCGUGGAGUAGCGGUCUAGCCAUAGCUGAUUCGGCUAUCGGUGACCAUGGAUCCAGAACGAGUACUGGUUCAACACUCGCACCUCUAAACCAAUUGAACAUGUUGGCACCGUCACUUCACCAAAGACGAUCAGAAACGUUACUAGAACUACAAGUACUCUGUACAUUCUUGUUGCUCUCCCUGAAUGUCUCUCUUUUCUCUUCUCUGAGGAACUUUGCUUUUACUGAACCCAGACGAGGCAUCUCCGGCACGAUGAGACAUCUAGGAAGACCUAUUCUUGUCUGAAUGGCGCCAAAAGAAGAAAGAGGAUUCAAAGAGAAGGCAUAUUGCUGUGAGUCAGCAUCAGAGCACGAGUUGGCCAGAUUGUGGAAUGGGAGAAGGGUUUCGCACUCGUAGUGAGUAUGAAAAAAUGGUACCAAAACGAUCGCCUAUUUACAACCAGUCGAAUGGUACCAUUUUCGAAGCUAUUAGCGUGAUGGAGGUCAAUUAUUAUGGAGCAGGGACUAAAGGUAGAAUCAAAGGUUGGUAAUUGGACUUUCUUGGACUGUUCAGAAUGCCAACAGAAUGUCUCCGAGACGACUUGUCUCCAAAACUAGUUCUGGUGUUCUGCUGAGUCAGCUGUGGGUGCAAUGAGAACCCAUAGACUCAGAAACGUUUGGACCAUUGAUUCCACACAACUGCGAACCACAUAAUCUAAUGAACACUUCUCGUUUCACUU
RNAcentral lists this unclassified non-coding RNA (1154 nucleotides) under Yarrowia lipolytica. Lineage: Eukaryota; Fungi; Ascomycota; Dipodascomycetes; Dipodascales. The record is from RNAcentral.